Molecule: non-coding RNA, 324 nt
Organism: Neolamprologus brichardi
Lineage: Eukaryota; Metazoa; Chordata; Actinopteri; Cichliformes; Cichlidae
Source: RefSeq, a predicted model, not a curated record
GUCUUCAUCUUCCACGAGGACGCCUUUGAUGGGAUAGGUCUUCUGAUCCUGCUCCGACUCUGGAGGGUAGCCAGGAUUAUCAACGGGAUCCUAGUGUCAGUGAAGACCCGUGCAGACCAGAAGAUUCACAAGCUGAAGGAGAGCUAUGACCACCUGGUUCAAAGAGUCACUGAGCUACAGGAGCGCAGUGAUAAACUGGCACAAGAGAACGACAACCUGAAAGCGCUCCUCAAGAAGCACGGCAUAGACGUCUAACUCGACAAGCUCGCUGCUGCAGAGCUACGUGUACCCACAUGCUACAGAACAUUUAAUGGUUUAUUACUA